This 1558-nucleotide ribosomal RNA is filed under the name Holothuria hilla. RNAcentral's name for it is "16S ribosomal RNA". The stretch from base 1 to 1378 matches the Rfam family "Bacterial large subunit ribosomal RNA", at positions 486 to 2925 of the family's 2925-position model. The record is from RNAcentral. Lineage: Eukaryota; Metazoa; Echinodermata; Holothuroidea; Aspidochirotida; Holothuriidae.
AGAAAAGUUCCAACAAGGAAGUCCCUAAAAUUAAACAAAUAACAAAAACAAAACCAACACCCAAGACAGGUACCAUAAGGGAGCCUUGAAAUAACAUAAAACAAGAAGACAAAAAAAGGAGACGCUCACAUACCUUUUGCAUCAUGGCUUAACGAGAAAACCAGGAGACCAUCUCCAACACCCGAAAGGCGGUGAGCUAAUUUACCCUGCCUACAGAGCUAUUUACUACUGUUGCAAUAGUAGGAGAAAAGGAUAAAUUAGAGGUAAAAUGCCAACCGCACCGCCCGAUAGCUGGUUUUCGGGGAAAGAAGUAAAAGCUUCUCUAUUCAAAGGACACGCCUCCUAUUAUAUAAACGUAAGACGUCACCUACGAACUAGAAAGAGGAGUGGAGACAAGUCCCCUCCUCAAAAGAGAAACAACUCUAAGCGUAAAUAAGACCAUUCAAAACAAGGAUAACGUACCAAAGUAGGCCUAAAAGCUGCCAGCCUAAAAGAAAGCGUUAAAGCUCAAAAUACUUAUAUCCAGAAAUAUAUGAUCAAAAUACUAUUUUCGCUACGAGUACCCGAAAGUAACAAUGUUAAGACUAGUAAAUAGAUACUUUCCUCCUUCGCCAAGAAAUCAUAAAUAUCAACCCAGAAGAGUAAAAUACAAGAAAUUCUCACACCCACCAUUCUACCAACACAGGCGCGAAAACAGGAAGGACAAGCAGAGAGGAAGGAACUCGGCAAACCACAAGAAGGACUGUUUACCAAAAACAUAGCCCCUUGAAUAUAUAAAGGGUCCCGCCUGCCCAGUGGCCACCAUAAGGCUAAACGGCCGCGGUAUCUUGACCGUGCAAAGGUAGCAUAAUCAUUUGUCUUUUAAAUGGAGACUUGUAUGAACGGCGAAACCUUUUUUAGCUGUCUCCCCCUCUGCCCUUCAAAACUCUUACUUAUGUGAAGAAACAUAAAUAUACCAGAAAGACGAGAAGACCCUGUCGAGCUUCAGCCAAAAGGCGAAUUAAGAUUUCCUCACAAGCCUAAUAUCGCCAAAAGGCUUUGGUUGGGGCAACCAUGGAGAAAAAUUAUCCUCCAGAACAAGUAGACGAAACCUCUUCCCUACUACAAAUUAGAGAACCAGGAACUGGUAAUCGGAAAAAGUUACCGCAGGGAUAACAGCGUCAUCCCCUUUAAGAGUCCUUAUUGACGAGGGGGUUUGCGACCUCGAUGUUGGAUUGGGGGCCCCUUAGGGUGCAGAAGCUCUAAACGGUUAGACUGUUCGUCUAUUAAAGCCCUACACGAUCUGAGUUCAGACCGACGCGAGUCAGGUCAGCUUCUAUCUUCUUAUUGACUUUCCUAGUACGAAAGGACCGGAAAGUCCCUUUAAAUGGUUAACUUUAAAAAGGAAUAAAAAGAAAAUUUUUGACCUAAAAUAAUUCUCCAAAGCCUAAAUUUAUACCCCCAUAUUUAACCAAAGAUUUAUAUUAGGGUUCGAAAUCCUAUACAAGAAAAAUUUUCUAAACUUCUUGCAAGGGGGGGGUAUUAUAAGUUUUAUAAGUUUUUAUAAAAAUUACAAAUC